RNAcentral lists this ribosomal RNA (579 nucleotides) under uncultured bacterium. RNAcentral describes it as "bacterial SSU rRNA". It matches the Rfam family "Bacterial small subunit ribosomal RNA", at positions 84 to 675 of the family's 1533-position model. The record is from RNAcentral.
GAGAGAAGCUAGCGGCGGACGGGUGAGUAACACGUGGGCAACCUGCCUCAUAGAGGGGAAUAGCCUCCCGAAAGGGAGAUUAAUACCGCAUAAGAUUGUAGCUUCGCAUGAAGUAGCAAUUAAAGGAGCAAUCCGCUAUGAGAUGGGCCCGCGGCGCAUUAGCUAGUUGGUGAGGUAACGGCUCACCAAGGCGACGAUGCGUAGCCGACCUGAGAGGGUGAUCGGCCACAUUGGGACUGAGACACGGCCCAGACUCCAACGGGAGGCAGCAGUGGGGAAUAUUGCACAAUGGGGGAAACCCUGAUGCAGCAACGCCGCGUGAGUGAUGACGGCCUUCGGGUUGUAAAGCUCUGUCUUCAGGGACGAUAAUGACGGUACCUGAGGAGGAAGCCACGGCUAACUACGUGCCAGCAGCCGCGGUAAUACGUAGGUGGCGAGCGUUGUCCGGAUUUACUGGGCGUAAAGGGAGCGUAGGCGGACUUUUAAGUGAGAUGUGAAAUACGCGGGGCUCAACUUGGGGUGCUGCAUUUCAAACUGGGAAGUCUAGAGUGCAGGAGAGGAGAAUGGAAUUUCCUAGUG